This 777-nucleotide ribosomal RNA is filed under the name uncultured Neocallimastigales. RNAcentral's name for it is "partial large subunit ribosomal RNA". It matches the Rfam family "Eukaryotic large subunit ribosomal RNA", at positions 22 to 640 of the family's 3401-position model. Lineage: Eukaryota; Fungi; Neocallimastigomycota; Neocallimastigomycetes; Neocallimastigales. The record is from RNAcentral.
GUACACGCUGUGACUAGCAUAUCAAUAAGCGGAGGAAAAGAAACUAACAAGGGAUUCCCCUAGUAACGGCGAGUGAAGCGGGAAGAGCUCAAAUUUGAAAUCUUAAAGGGUUUCCCUUUACGAAUUGUAGUUUAAAGAAGUGUUUUCUGUUGAGGUUUUGGUAAAAGUUCUUUGGAAUAGGACAUCAUAGAGGGUGAGAAUCCCGUAUUUGACCUUUACUUUCAACUUUGUGAUACACUUUCAAAGAGUCGGAUUGUUUGGGAAUGCAGUCCAAAAUGGGUGGUAAAUUUCAUCUAAAGCUAAAUAUUGGCGAGAGACCGAUAGCGAACAAGUACCGUGAGGGAAAGAUGAAAAGAACUUUGAAAAGAGAGUUAAACAGUACGCUGAAAUUGUCAAAAGGGAAGCGUUUGACACCAGUGUUGUUUUUCUGAAAAUCAAUUAAAGAACUGUUUAUGCUAAGUUGUUUAGACUUUAUCAGCUAAUCUGUUUAGUUUUGAGCUUUUCUUUAAUGCACUUUUCAGUUAACAAGUCAACAUCAAUUUCUUUUGCUGUAAAAAAGCUUGAGGAAGGUGGCUUGAGAUUCGUCUUAAGUGUUUAUAGCCUCUUGCCUAUGCAGUCGGAGAGAUUGAGGUCUGCAGCGUAGAUCCUUCGGGGCUAAAUGCAUUUGUGCUAAGUUAUAGCAUUUUAUAGACAACUUGUUGACUAUGAUUUGUCUUGUAGCUUACUCGCUUAUGUUAUUUUACCUACGCUUAGGAUGUUGAUAUGCAUGACUGAUAU